Camellia sinensis is the source of this 4720-nucleotide non-coding RNA. The record is from RefSeq and is a predicted model, not a curated record. NCBI's taxonomy places the organism in Eukaryota, Viridiplantae, Streptophyta, Magnoliopsida, Ericales, Theaceae.
UCACUUUUGUUAAUAUAAUAUAUAAUUUUUUAUAUUAAUAUUAAUAUAUACAUAAAAAAGAAAAUACAUGCAUUGUGUUUAAAAUGAAUAUAUAUACGUAUAAAGCCAUAUGUAGUAAUACGACUAAUUAAUCUCUAUUAUAUUUCUUGCUAGAGAGGCGAAAACAAUGUUGUUUCAUGCACUAUGUAAACAAAAAUAAAAACAUAAUCGAUUGAAUUGAUGUGAAUAGCAAUUAAUUGUAGAGAAUUGCAAAUUGAAUCACAUGAAUCACUCAAUUUCCAAUUGAAUCCAGAAUCUAAUGGUUCUAAACUCCUAUAGUUUGACAAAACUAUGGAUAACAAUAAUAAUCUUGUUUCGUAUACUGUUUCAUAUCACAUUGUUACUGUUUGUCCAGAGUUGUUUCUUUAUUUUCUCCAUUUUGGCUCUGUAGUAGACAGUUUGUUGAAUUCUCUAUUUUCGCCAACCCUGUUUGUUUAAUUUUGUUGGGCUCUUCAUUUGUUCAUUUUCUUUAUUUCUGGUUUUUAUCUGUAGAAAAGAAGUAUAUUGUUUCAAAACAACUAUUUUAUCUCCCAUUUUCUUUUUUGUAUUUGAUAUUUUGGAAUUUAUUUUUGUUGUUGCCUUGUAGUAAUCUAUGUUUAGAUUUGAUAAUUUCUUUGUAAUUAAAGCAGUCAACUAUCAAAAUAUUUUUGAAGACAGGGUUUUGCAAUUCUUUUUGCUGUUGACGUCAUAAAACUUAUAAGGCAACACCAUGGUGAACAUACAAACUAUUCCUGUGUGUCUUCUCAAUUAUCAAAGUUAUAUUUCACCAGGAAUGUAGGCAUGAAAUUACUUAAUCUUAAGCUGUCAUCAGAUCUGGUGUUUACUGCUUUUUAACUUUACAUUCCCUCUGAUAUUGCCAUAAAAACAUAAGAACCUAAUAUAUGGAGUUUUGAGGUAUUCCGAACAGUUAGAAUUUUGAUAUUGAUGUUUCAGAUGUAUGUUUUUAUGGCAGUCAUCAUUUUUGUUUAACAGGAAAUCAUCCCUUUGAUUUUGAUCCUUUUAACAGUUCUCAUUGCCUUGCCACUGCAGAAGUUUCAUUUCAGUGUGCAAUUUGUGUCUUGCAAUAUAUUGUUUGAACCACUUAAGAUUGGUUGUUGUGGCCUUGAUAAGUUUCUCUUUUUGCCCAUGAUUUGUGUUGUAAUUCUUCCAAUAUUGUAUCUCUACUCCAACAAAAGCAGCGGAUUGUGAAUGCAAACAGUUAAGAGUGGCAGUGUUGACAGGCUAAACAGAAUCAAGGUUGGCCAACAUGGGGUUUGGUGAUGAAGCAUCGGAGAUCAUUGCAUCUUUAAGGUGUUCUCUUGUUGAAGUUGAAGCUGCAACACAGACAAAUGAUACCAAGCAAUUACAUUGACUGUUGAAGUGAGAUAAAAGAUAUGAUGACCAGUGCCUUGUCUAGAAUAUGACUCUAGAUGUAGCACAUGUUGAAAGAGGGAUAGCGCUUGCCAAUGAUUGGAGGUCAGUUUGCGAUGUUUAGAUGGUACAUAUGCCUUGGUGAAUGAGUGUUUGAUUAGCUCAUAAAAAGUUGUUAUGGCUUUGUUCGCUACAAUGGUUGAUUAGGGGAGAAGUUUUCAAAGAUAGUACUAAAUGGCCCCAAAGGUUUUGAAGCAGAAUUAUGUUAUGUGGGGUUCCUCCAUUUUGAGCAGGUAUUGUUUUUCUUCAUGUAAAGGUUGCUGAUAUAAACAUGGUUAUGGACCUAUGGUGUCAAUAGUCUUAUGAAUUGUAUUGUUGCUUUGGCAAUUCUGCGGGGGGUGAUUGAGACGUAUUCACAAUUUUCAGUUGAAGGUUGGAAGCAAAAUGAAUAUGACUGGGUGAUUUGGAUUUUUGGGUAAGUCUAAAUGGGAGUUUUUGGGCUAUAUUGAUUUGUAGAUGAUGGGGGACUUAAGUUAGUUAGCGUUUGCUGGAUUGAUUUGCCAAGUGAAGAGUUUGCUUUUUGAAUCUAAUUUUAUUUUUAUUUUUAUUUUUUUUGGUAGUGGGUUGGCUGCUUCCCAUGAGCAAACUAAUUGGAUCCAAAAGGGUUGGUUUCAUAUUUUGUUUAUGGGAGGAUUUGAAUUGUUGGAGCUAUUUGAUUUUUCAAUUUGUGUGUGUGUGCGCGCGCGCGCGUGUGUGCAGCUGCUGGUCGUAGCAUUUCAAUGCACCAUGUUAACCCAUUAAAGGUAUCCCAAUUCUUUCAUAGGAUGCCUGGCUUCUAUUGGGAAUUAAGUCGUUUAGUUUACGAAUUUUUUUUAAAAACAUGUAUACUCAUUUCUUAUUGCAAAACAUUUGUUUUGUCAUAUGGUUGCUUGGUCUAAUUAUUAGUUCCCUAUUAUUUGUCAUACAUCAUUUUAGCUACCAUUUAAGUAGGUUUGUUUAUGUAGUGUUGAUUGAAUUUUUUUUCCUUGAGUUGGGCAUAAAUAUUUGUGUUUCUUCAUGGUUUUGAUUUCAAUUAUAUGAAUAUGAAAUGGGUUGAAAAAAAUUGUUCGAUUUAUGAAAUAGGUUACUAUGGGAUGAGAUAAAUCUUUUUCAAUGAAAUGUGUUUCUAUGAAUGGGUGACUUCUAUUUGUUUUUCUGCUCUGAGAUGAGAUAAGUCUUUUUCUAUGAAUGGAUUUUUCAUGUUCAAAAAUUGUCACUCAGUAUGGAAAGUUGAAACAGUCAUUGCGCUUAAUUGCUAUUUACUACCUUCAACUUGGUUUGUUUCUUUUUAUGUUCAUAGAAAUGAUUUUUCAUGCUUUUUGGCACAUUUAUGUGGUUACUAAUUGAUAGUUGAAAAGAGCAUGCAUUUGAAAAGAGCCUAUUAAUCUAAGAUUGGAUUGGUACCAUUUCAUCAACAAAAAUAAUUUUGCUUAGGUAUGUAAGGUUGUGUUUGAAUCAUAAUUACUUUAUAUUUCCCUCAUCUUUUCUUUUUCCUUUUCAAAUUCCUAUCUAAAUUUAAAUUGAUAUUCUCGGACAUUUCAGGUUCUUAGCUGUUGAUUGUUAACUACCUGAGAGAAUCAGUGCCUGAACCCAUUUUGUUUAUUUCAUGUGCUCUAGGAUGAACCCUAAUCAUGUGCUUGAACCUUAAUCUACAUAAAAUUUACAUAAGAUAUCUGAUUAAAUAGAGAUAUUAUGAAAAUUUUCAUAAAACAUCUUACCAUAAAAUUUGUCUUCUAGUACAUCUGGUCACAAUAUGGUAAGAUAUUGAGGCAAAAUUGUUAUUCCAAUGCUAUUUUGGGUUUAUUUGAUUAAAUAGAGACAUUCACUUCUAUAUUAAAAAAUAUUUUUUUUGAAAAAUAGGUGUUUUUUUUAAGAUAUUUUUUAAAUACACAGCUUUUUCCCUCUAGAAGUUCCUUCUAAAUAAAAUUUUAUAUUUUCUCCAAGUGAUAGGUGCUUAAGACAAUUUCAGUCUCAUAUUCAAGUUCGGAAAGUCUUGAAUCUCUUCUUCUAUAAGGUUUCACUUUAAUUUUUAAUUUUUAAUUUUUUUUAGAUUGUUGAGCAUUGGUUGGUGUGCAUUGUUUGUUAUUUAAUUUUGAAUUCUAUUUUUCGGGAUUACAUAGCACUGGCUGGUGUGCUUUAUUUGGUGUUUAGUAAUUUUUUGGUAUUGCAAAGCACUGGAUGGUGUGCAUUGUUUGUUGUUUAUUUUUAAUUUUCAUUUUUAAAAAUUGCAGAGCACUGGCUGGUGUGUAUUAUUUGGUAUUUAUUUUUAAUUUUAAUUUUUUGAAAUUGCAGAGCACUGUCUGGUGUAGUAUUUGUUGUUUAAUUUUGAAUUCUAUUUUUCGAGAUUGCAUAUCACUGACUGGUGUGCUUCAUUUGGUGUUUAGUACAUUAUUUAUUUAUUUAUUGUAAAAUAUUGAUAGAUAUACAAUAGCUUUGGCUAGGGUAUUAUUUGGUAACGAAUGAAUAAUAAAAAUGAAAUAUUUAUGAUUAGACAACAAAUAUAUGUACCCGUGCUUAGGGGUUGUUAUCUUUAAUUCAGUUCUAUAAAGUGUGGUACCAACAAAAUUGUUGGAAGUGUUUUAAAAACAAUAUUUCUUUAUAUUUCUCAAUGUCUUAAGUUUUUGGUAUGUUUUUCGAUAAAUUACAUUUCUAUGCAACUACAUUUUGAUCUCAUUAUUAUUUACAUCGUGCCAUUAGGCAGGAGCAUACCUUUUAUUCUGUACUUUACAUGCCUCUUAUUCUUCACUUUUUCCGUUUCUUCUUCUCAAAAAUCAUUUAACACCAAGGUAAAAAUCUUAUCUCUCUGUUUAUGUACAUGCUCUUCUCAUCUUGAUUGUAACCCUCUCUUUGAAAUUAAUUUUUAUAUUUUAUUAUCUGAUUUGCUACUAAAAUUGUUAAAAGUUCUUUAAGAAGAAUAAUAUUUCUUUAUAUUUUUCCAGUGUCGAUCAAAAAUAAAAAAAAUACUAUAGACUCUACAAAUUUUAACAUGAUGUGUAUAACUUACAGCUACAUUUUGAUUCUAACAUAAUUUACACAGUGCCUUUAGAUAGUUCAAUUUCUCCAUCUGUGAUAUUCAUGCAUAAACGAACUUCUUAAAGUGGGUUGUUAACUAAAAUAUGUUAGGAGGUUGUUAAUUUUGUGUUGAUUAUUUUUUCUUUAUGGCAAUUAUUAAACCUCAUUUUGCCUUACAGUUACCUUUGUCAAAUUUACAUAACCAAACACACCAUUGACCUUCAACCUCUAAUUAUGGACAACAUUACUAUUUUUAGUCACGUAAAUUGUUUUCUUUUAU